Molecule: ribosomal RNA, 508 nt
Filed under: uncultured bacterium
Lineage: Bacteria
Description: partial 16S ribosomal RNA
Rfam family: Bacterial small subunit ribosomal RNA
Source: RNAcentral
GACGAACGCUGGCGGCGUGCCUAAUACAUGCAAGUCGAACGCUUCUUUCCUCCCGAGUGCUUGCACUCAAUUGGAAAGAGGAGUGGCGGACGGGUGAGUAACACGUGGGUAACCUACCCAUCAGAGGGGGAUAACACUUGGAAACAGGUGCUAAUACCGCAUAACAGUUUAUGCCGCAUGGCAUAAGAGUGAAAGGCGCUUUCGGGUGUCGCUGAUGGAUGGACCCGCGGUGCAUUAGCUAGUUGGUGAGGUAACGGCUCACCAAGGCCACGAUGCAUAGCCGACCUGAGAGGGGGAUCGGCCACACUGGGACUGAGACACGGCCCAGACUCCUACGGGAGGCAGCAGUAGGGAAUCUUCGGCAAUGGACGAAAGUCUGACCGAGCAACGCCGCGUGAGUGAAGAAGGUUUUCGGAUCGUAAAACUCUGUUGUUAGGGAAGAACAAAGACGUUAGUAACUGAACGUCCCCUGACGGUAUCUAACCAGAAAGCCACGGCUAACUACGUG